GACGAACCGUGCGAACGUUGUUCGGAUUCACUGGGCGUAAAGGGUGCGUAGGCGGUCGGGUAAGUCUGGCGUGAAAUCUCCAAGCCUAACUUGGAAACUGCGUUGGAUACUAUCCGGCUCGAGGAAUGGAGGGGAGACUGGAAUACUUGGUGUAGCAGUGAAAUGCGUAGAUAUCAAGUGGAACACCAGUGGCGAAGGCGAGUCUCUGGACAUUUCCUGACGCUGAGGCACGAAAGCCAGGGGAGCAAACGGG
RNAcentral lists this ribosomal RNA (253 nucleotides) under uncultured bacterium. Its description in RNAcentral is "partial 16S ribosomal RNA". It matches the Rfam family "Bacterial small subunit ribosomal RNA", at positions 524 to 776 of the family's 1533-position model. The record is from RNAcentral.